UAGUUUAUUUCAUUUCAGCCCCUUUUUCCACUCUAUCUGUGUAUUUCGAGCCUACCCUUCCUCAUAGGUGCCUUCUGCUCGUCUUCCAUUGGUCACAAGAGUUGCCUUCUGCUUGUCUUCAAAUCUGCUUCCUUUCCUGUGCAAGCAUCAUUCCACAAUUGCCUUCUGGUCAUCUUCCAUCUAUCCCCGUCACAACUCCUAUUCCGAAUGGGUUUUGGAUUGAGCAAGCAAAUGAGCUCUAUCAAAAUAACUAGUCUGUAAUAUUCAACUUUCUUCAUUGUUGGACUAUUCUAAGGCACUAUCCAAAAUGAAAACAAACUGUGGCUGAGGGCAGUGUGAAAAUUAAGAGAAGAUCAGUAACCUCAGAUGCUCAUGUGCUAGAGUUUAUAUCUAUAGAUGAAGACACCAUAUCUCCUUCUAUAGAUGUGAAUCUGGAGAGAUCCAUUGGAAAGAAGACUGAAAAUAAGCAAAAGAGGCAAGAUAGUACCUCUUUCAAUCUUGUUGAUUUGGUGAUUGAAAUGAUAGAGGAGAAUAAGAGAGCAAAUGCUGAGAAGGGAGAAGUUAGGAAAGAACUCAUCUGCUUUACAAAAGAUAGGCUUGAUUUAGAUUAACGGAGAGAAGAUAAGGAAAUUAUGAGGAUGGACAUCUCAAGUUUGCCUCCAAUGCAGCAAGAGUAUUUUCGUAACCUCCAAUUUGAAAUACUUGAGAAGCAAAGGUCUACAAAAUCAUGACUGGGUGGUGUAUGGGCUAUAAAUGAACAUUUUUUGAAAGGUAAUAAUGCAGCCAUUUUUGGGAAUGCUCAUGUGAUAGUUUUUGUAUAGAACAUAAUACAAACUUGAAGCCACAAAUUUAGCCAUAUUUGGAAGUUUUUUUGAUAGUUUUUUUUAUAGGACUAAGCACAAACCUGAAGUCAAUAUAGCCAGUGGAUAGUCCAAAUUUUCUUUUGCAUAGAAUAUAAUACAGUUCGCACACUAAACUGUCUUAAUAGUCUAAUAUGUUCUUUGUUAGGAAAAUUAUGAUGGUGAGACACUAAAGUAUAGUUGUGAAUAAUUUAAGAGUAUUAUGUGAAUGAAUGAGUAUGAAUGAUUAUUAUGUGAAUGGAUGAGUUAGAGUCUAAACUUACUUGAUUAUGGAGUUUGCUUUAAUCACUAUGUUCAGGAUAUGACAAUAUGAACUUAUUGAUGAAAAUUCUUACAUUCAACUUUCUUCCACAUUGGAUAUUACCUUCGUGAGAAUCUAUACAUGUUUGUGAGAAUGUAUUUUUGUGGAA
Juglans microcarpa x Juglans regia is the source of this 1270-nucleotide long non-coding RNA. RefSeq lists it as uncharacterized. The transcript is spliced from 2 exons. Lineage: Eukaryota; Viridiplantae; Streptophyta; Magnoliopsida; Fagales; Juglandaceae. The record is from RefSeq and is a predicted model, not a curated record.